UACGUAGGGCGCAAGCGUUGUCCGGAAUUAUUGGGCGUAAAGAGUUCGUAGGCGGCUUGUCACGUCGGGUGUGAAAGCUCGGGGCUUAACCCCGGGUCUGCAUUCGAUACGGGCAGGUUAGAGUGUGGUAGGGGAGAUCGGAAUUCCUGGUGUAGCGGUGAAAUGCGCAGAUAUCAGGAGGAACACCGGUGGCGAAGGCGGAUCUCUGGGCCAUUACUGACGCUGAGGAGCGAAAGCGUGGGGAGCGAACAGG
This 253-nucleotide ribosomal RNA is filed under the name uncultured bacterium. RNAcentral's name for it is "partial 16S ribosomal RNA". It matches the Rfam family "Bacterial small subunit ribosomal RNA", at positions 524 to 776 of the family's 1533-position model. The record is from RNAcentral.